UACGGAGGGUGCAAGCGUUAUCCGGAUUCACUGGGUUUAAAGGGUGCGUAGGUGGGCUAGUAAGUCAGUGGUGAAAUCUCCGGGCUUAACCCGGAAACUGCCAUUGAUACUGUUAGGCUUGAGUACUAAUGAGGUAGGCGGAAUUGGUAGUGUAGCGGUGAAAUGCAUAGAUAUUAUCAAGAACACCGAUUGCGAAGGCAGCUUACUAGACUUAUACUGACGCUGAGGCACGAAAGCGUGGGGAGCAAACAGG
This 253-nucleotide ribosomal RNA is filed under the name uncultured prokaryote. RNAcentral describes it as "partial 16S ribosomal RNA". It matches the Rfam family "Bacterial small subunit ribosomal RNA", at positions 524 to 776 of the family's 1533-position model. The record is from RNAcentral.